Molecule: ribosomal RNA, 463 nt
Filed under: uncultured bacterium
Lineage: Bacteria
Description: bacterial SSU rRNA
Rfam family: Bacterial small subunit ribosomal RNA
Source: RNAcentral
AGCCAGACUCCUACGGGAGGCAGCAGUGGGGAAUAUUGCACAAUGGGGGAAACCCUGAUGCAGCGACGCCGCGUGAGUGAAGAAGUAUUUCGGUACGUAAAGCUCUAUCAGCAGGGAAGAAAAAAAGUCCUUUGGACUUUGGACGGUACCUGACUAAGAAGCCCCGGCUAACUACGUGCCAGCAGCCGCGGUAAUACGUAGGGGGCAAGCGUUAUCCGGAUUUACUGGGUGUAAAGGGAGCGUAGACGGCAGCGCAAGUCUGGAGUGAAAUGCCGGGGCCCAACCCCGGAACUGCUUUGGAAACUGUGCAGCUGGAGUGCAGGAGGGGCAGGCGGAAUUCCUGGUGUAGCGGUGAAAUGCGUAGAUAUCAGGAGGAACACCGGUGGCGAAGGCGGCCUGCUGGACUGCAACUGACGUUGAGGCCCGAAAGCGUGGGGAGCAAACAGGAUUAGAUACCCGUGUA